AACGAACGCUGGCGGCAUGCCUAACACAUGCAAGUCGAACGAAGCCUUCGGGCUUAGUGGCGCACGGGUGCGUAACGCGUGGGAAUCUGCCCCUCGGUUCGGAAUAACAGUUAGAAAUGACUGCUAAUACCGGAUGAUGACGAAAGUCCAAAGAUUUAUCGCCGAGGGAUGAGCCCGCGUAGGAUUAGCUUGUUGGUGGGGUAAUGGCCCACCAAGGCGACGAUCCUUAGCUGGUCUGAGAGGAUGAUCAGCCACACUGGGACUGAGACACGGCCCAGACUCCUACGGGAGGCAGCAGUGGGGAAUAUUGGACAAUGGGCGCAAGCCUGAUCCAGCCAUGCCGCGUGAGUGAAGAAGGCCU
Molecule: ribosomal RNA, 361 nt
Filed under: uncultured bacterium
Lineage: Bacteria
Description: bacterial SSU rRNA
Rfam family: Bacterial small subunit ribosomal RNA
Source: RNAcentral